RNAcentral lists this ribosomal RNA (478 nucleotides) under uncultured bacterium. Its description in RNAcentral is "bacterial SSU rRNA". It matches the Rfam family "Bacterial small subunit ribosomal RNA", at positions 28 to 507 of the family's 1533-position model. The record is from RNAcentral.
GACGAACGCUGGCGGCGUGCCUAACACAUGCAAGUCGAACGGACUGUUGUCCUUCGGGACAACAGUUAGUGGCGAACGGGUGAGUAACGCGUGGGUAACCUGCCCUUGUAUCGGGGAUAACUUGCCGAAAGGUGAGUUAAUACCGGAUUCUCUAUUGAGAUUGCAUGAUCUUAAUAGAAAAGGUGGCCUCUGAAUAUGCUACCGUAUAAGGAUGGACCCGCGUCUGAUUAGCUAGUUGGUGAGGUAACGGCCCACCAAGGCGACGAUCAGUAGCCGGCCUGAGAGGGUGAACGGCCACACUGGGACUGAGACACGGCCCAGACUCCUACGGGAGGCAGCAGUGGGGAAUCUUCCGUAAUGGACGAAAGUCUGACGGAGCAACGCCGCGUGGGUGAUGAAGGUUUUCGGAUUGUAAAGCCCUGUCUGGAGGGAAGAAAUAUUGACGGUACCUCCGGAGGAAGCCCCGGCUAACUACGUG